This 698-nucleotide ribosomal RNA is filed under the name uncultured marine archaeon. RNAcentral describes it as "bacterial SSU rRNA". It matches the Rfam family "Archaeal small subunit ribosomal RNA", at positions 102 to 802 of the family's 1478-position model. The record is from RNAcentral.
AGUCAACCUACCCUAUGGACGGGAAUAAUCUCGGGAAACUGAGGAUAAUUCCAGAUAGAACACUAUGCCUGGAACGGUUUGUGUUCCAAAUGAUUUAUCGCCGUAGGAUGGGACUGCGUCCUAUCAGUUUGUUGGUGAGGUAAUGGCCCACCAAGACUAUUACAGGUACGGGCUCUGAGAGGAGUAGCCCGGAGAUGGGUACUGAGACACGGACCCAGGCCCUAUGGGGCGCAGCAGGCGAGAAAACUUUGCAAUGUGCGAAAGCACGACAAGGUUAAUCCGAGUGGUUCCUGCUAAAGGAACCUUUUGACGGUCCUAAAAACACCGUUGAAUAAGGGGUGGGCAAGUUCUGGUGUCAGCCGCCGCGGUAAAACCAGCACCUCAAGUGGUCAGGGUGAUUAUUGGGCCUAAAGCAUCCGUAGCCGGCUCUGUGAGUUUUCGGUUAAAUCUGUGCGCUCAACGUACAGGCUGCCGGGAAUACUGCAGAGCUAGGGAGUGGGAGAGGUAGACGGUACUUGGUAGGAAGGGGUAAAAUCCUUUGAUCUAUUGAUGACCACCUGUGGCGAAGGCGGUCUACCAGAACACGUCCGACGGUGAGGGAUGAAAGCUGGGGGAGCAAACCGGAUUAGAUACCCGGGUAGUCCCAGCUGUAACCAUGCAAACUCAAUGAUGCAUUGGCUUGAAGCCAAUGCAGUGUU